GAUGAACGCUGGCGGCGUGCCUAAUACAUGCAAGUCGAGCGAACAGACGAGGAGCUUGCUCCUUCGACGUUAGCGGCGGACGGGUGAGUAACACGUAGGUAACCUACCUAUAAGACUGGGAUAACUUCGGGAAACCGGAGCUAAUACCGGAUAAUAUUUUGAACCGCAUGGUUCGAUAGUGAAAGAUGGCUUUGCUAUCACUUAUAGAUGGACCUGCGCCGUAUUAGCUAGUUGGUAAGGUAACGGCUUACCAAGGCAACGAUACGUAGCCGACCUGAGAGGGUGAUCGGCCACACUGGAACUGAGACACGGUCCAGACUCCUACGGGAGGCAGCAGUAGGGAAUCUUCCGCAAUGGGCGAAAGCCUGACGGAGCAACGCCGCGUGAGUGAUGAAGGUCUUCGGAUCGUAAAACUCUGUUAUUAGGGAAGAACAAACGUGUAAGUAACUGUGCACGUCUUGACGGUACCUAAUCAGAAAGCCACGGCUAACUACGUG
This 497-nucleotide ribosomal RNA is filed under the name uncultured bacterium. Its description in RNAcentral is "partial 16S ribosomal RNA". It matches the Rfam family "Bacterial small subunit ribosomal RNA", at positions 28 to 507 of the family's 1533-position model. The record is from RNAcentral.